This 783-nucleotide non-coding RNA is filed under the name Pan troglodytes (chimpanzee). The record is from RNAcentral. Lineage: Eukaryota; Metazoa; Chordata; Mammalia; Primates; Hominidae.
GUCGGAACUGGACCUUGCUGAAGGAAAUACUUUCUGACUCAUUGGAAUUUGUUAUAGUCAAAUUUGCCUAUGUGAUAACUUAGGUCUUCACGACGGCCCAGAGUAAGACGACGCAUGAGGACCCUUCUUGUCAUUUAAUUAUUGCUUGACCAGAACUGUGCCUUGUAAGGUGUUUCCAGACCUAAGAAUAACGGGAACAUGGAGGAGUGGCAUCUCCAGUGUAGCCACCCACCAAAGCCUCAUCCUGAACACUAUGGCCUAGUGGGUCACUUACAGGGAUGUAGCUGGCAUUGAUGUAGUCAGAGCAAGGAUCAUCAUCUACAUUGGAGAGCUUCACUCGCGUGGCAUCAUCUGGAAGGAGAGAUUUGCUGCUGAGUCUUGGAGUGACUUUUCUACAGUUUAUGUGAUGUGUGUGAUGUGCCUUAGCUCUGAUCCCCACAACAGCCACAGAUGGGAAGUGAUCUUAUCUCCAUUUUGCAGGUGAGGCUCAGGCAGGAUAACUAACUUGCCCCACAUUGCAUAGGUGGCCUAUAACCAGUCAGACACAGGAGACAACAUGAAGCCCCAUCUGUGCUUCCCUUUCUAACAUUACCACAUUUGCCUGAUGGAGUGGCCAGCUCCCUUUCACUGCUGGAAUGAAUACAAUCCAGAAAACCUACCUUCUAUUGCUUUACCUAAUGGGGUAAGGAAAUUUAAGUAGAAAUUGCUAACCGAAGACUUUGCUAAGCAAACCCAGGUCUGCUUGAUGUCAGAGCCCUUGCUGUUAACCCCAUUUACUGCUUA